GAUGAACGCUGGCGGUAUGCUUAACACAUGCAAGUCGAACGGUACCUUCGGGUAUAGUGGCGGACGGGUGAGUAACGCGUGAGAAUCUGUCUUCAGGUCGGGGACAACAGUUAGAAAUGACUGCUAAUACCGGAUGUGCCUAUGGGUGAAAGAUUUAUUGCCUGAAGAAGAGCUCGCGUCAGAUUAGCUAGUAGGUGGUGUAAGAGACUACCUAGGCUUUGAUCUGUAGCUGGUCUGAGAGGACGAUCAGCCACACUGGAACUGAGACACGGUCCAGACUCCUACGAGAGGCAGCAGUGGGGAAUUUUCCGCAAUGGGCGAAAGCCUGACGGAGCAAUACCGCGUGAGGGACGAAGGCUUUUGGGUCGUAAACCUCUUUUAUUAGGGAAGAUAAUGACGGUACCUAAUGAAUAAGCAUCGGCUAACUCUGUGCCAGCAGCCGCGGUAAU
Molecule: ribosomal RNA, 449 nt
Filed under: uncultured cyanobacterium
Lineage: Bacteria; Bacillati; Cyanobacteriota
Description: bacterial SSU rRNA
Rfam family: Bacterial small subunit ribosomal RNA
Source: RNAcentral